This 406-nucleotide ribosomal RNA is filed under the name uncultured bacterium. RNAcentral's name for it is "partial 16S ribosomal RNA". It matches the Rfam family "Bacterial small subunit ribosomal RNA", at positions 30 to 526 of the family's 1533-position model. The record is from RNAcentral.
AUUGAACGCUGGCGGCAGGCCUAACACAUGCAAGUCGAACGAGUGGCGGACGGGUGAGUAAUGUCUGGGAAACUGCCUGAUGGAGGGGGAUAACUACUGGAAACGGUAGCUAAUACCGCAUACCAUCAGAUGUGCCCAGAUGGGAUUAGCUUGUAGGUAAGGUAACGGCUUUCCUAGGCGACGAUCCCUAGCUGGUCUGAGAGGAUGAUCAUCCACACUGGGACUGAGACACGGCCCAGACUCCUACGGGAUGCAGCAGUGGGGAAUAUUGGACAAUGGGCGCAAGCCUGAUGCAUCCAUGCCGCGAGUAUGAAGAAGGCCUUCGGGUUGUAAAGUACUUUCAGUCGGGAGGCGUUACCGACAGAAGAAGCACCGGCUAACUCCGUGCCAGCAGCCGCGGUAAUUC